This 247-nucleotide ribosomal RNA is filed under the name Thelephoraceae sp. RNAcentral describes it as "partial large subunit ribosomal RNA". It matches the Rfam family "Eukaryotic large subunit ribosomal RNA", at positions 104 to 344 of the family's 3401-position model. The record is from RNAcentral. Lineage: Eukaryota; Fungi; Basidiomycota; Agaricomycetes; Thelephorales; Thelephoraceae.
AGAGCUCAAAUUUGAAAUCUGGCGGUUUCUGACCGUCCGAGUUGUAGUCUGGAGAAGCGUCUUCCGUGUUGGACCGUGUAUAAGUCUCUUGGAACAGGGCGUCAUAGAGGGUGAGAAUCCCGUCUUUGACACGGACUACCAAUGCUUUGUGAGGCGCUCUCAAAGAGUCGAGUUGUUUGGGAAUGCAGCUCAAAAUGGGUGGUAAAUUCCAUCUAAAGCUAAAUAUAGGCGAGAGACCGAUAGCGAA